CGUGGCUCGUCUCAAAGCGCAGAAUGCAUCCGAUGAGCUCGACUCGUGGGAACCGUGGCUACUUGCGCCCGGAAGGAUUGACUUUGGCCAAGAGGUGAGAGGUCAGGGGUUGCCGUCGAGGAGGAAGAGAAGAAGAAAAAGAAGAAGAAGAAGAAGAAGAAGGGUGGAGAGAAAGAGCAAACGAUCCCCUGGGUGCGCGUUUAAACCUUUUCACGGGCAUUUCCGUGGAAGCCACUUUUGUCCUGCUCCGACAAAUUCGAACUAUGCGAGUUUCUUUUCCCUCGAAACCCCUCGAAACACUCUGCAUAAAGUCGAAACUGAGAUGCUUGGAAAUUUCGAAAGAAUUUCGAGACACUGAAUUAUAAAGCAGUUGGUAUUAUUUUGUGGACGAAAUUAUUAAUAAUUUAACAAAAGUGUAGUAAGACAUGUUGAAAUAUUAAUUAUUAACACUAGAUUUACGGAUAUUGAUUAUAUAGGGGUGACCGGGGCUAGUUAAGAUAAACGCUAAUUGAUAUAUUUUAAUUUUUAAAAAUACCUCUUCUCGUAUAAAAUAAAAAACGCGUCAGCAUAUGUUGCACGGUGACGUGUGCAACUUCACUUUAGAAAUUUCUCAUUAUAUAUCGUAUUUUGGAUAUGGUUCAUGGACAUUUUAAGAUUUCUGCCAAUGAAAGUUAAAAAAAAAAUGUUUGAGUUUGAAUGAACAUAUCUCGUAUAUCGUUCGAGGAGGGGCAUGUUGAUACAUGUGAUUUGGGGCACAUUGAGACAGCGUAUCAACAUGCCCCUGGGUACCAAUUUAUUUAUAAUUUCUUUUUUUCAAUAAGUUGUAAAACGAAAUAAUGGGAAAAAAAGAAAAUCUGCUAUAUUGACGGACACUCCUGAAAAAGAAGCCUUUAGUCACGAAGAACAAAAAAAGAUGUUAAAAAAACUGAAAUUGAGAAAAAAGGUAUAAGGAAAGGACUUACGUCCCAAUUUUGUAAUAAAAAUAACAAAAAUAAAAA
Molecule: non-coding RNA, 998 nt
Organism: Osmia lignaria (orchard mason bee)
Lineage: Eukaryota; Metazoa; Arthropoda; Insecta; Hymenoptera; Megachilidae
Source: RefSeq, a predicted model, not a curated record